RNAcentral lists this ribosomal RNA (388 nucleotides) under uncultured bacterium. RNAcentral describes it as "bacterial SSU rRNA". It matches the Rfam family "Bacterial small subunit ribosomal RNA", at positions 28 to 416 of the family's 1533-position model. The record is from RNAcentral.
GACGAACGCUGGCGGCGUGCUUAACACAUGCAAGUCGAGCGGUAAGGCCCUUUCGGGGGGUACACGAGCGGCGAACGGGUGAGUAACACGUGGGUGACCUGCCCUCAGCUCUGGGAUAAGCCUGGGAAACUGGGUCUAAUGCUGGAUAUGACUCCACGGUGCAUGUCGUGGGGUGGAAAGCCUUGUGCGGCUGAGGAUGGGCCCGCGGCCUAUCAGCUUGUUGGUGGGGUGAUGGCCUACCAAGGCGACGACGGGUAGCCGGCCUGAGAGGGCGACCGGCCACACUGGGACUGAGACACGGCCCAGACUCCUACGGGAGGCAGCAGUGGGGAAUCUUGCGCAAUGGGCGAAAGCCUGACGCAGCGACGCCGCGUGAGGGAUGACGGCC